AGGACUAACGCUGGCGGCGUGCCUAACACAUGCAAGUCGAACGAGAGUAGCAAUACUCUAGUGGCAGACGGGUGAGUAACACGUGGUCAACCUACCUCUUAGUGGGGGAUAACUAGCCGAAAGGUUAGCUAAUACCGCAUUCGAUCUUCGAUCGGCAUCGAUUGAAGAUGAAAGGCGCAAGUCGCUAAGAGACGGGACCGCGUCCCAUUAGCUAGUUGGUAGGGUAAUGGCCUACCAAGGCGACGAUGGGUAGCUGGCUUGAGAGAGCGACCAGCCACACUGGGACUGAGACACGGCCCAGACUCCUACGGGAGGCAGCAGUGAGGAAUUUUCCGCAAUGGGCGAAAGCCUGACGGAGCGACGCCGCGUGUGGGAAGAAGGCCUUCGGGUCGUAAACCACUGUCGAAGGGGAAGAUAUUGACGGUACCCUUGGAGGAAGCCCCGGCUAACUACGCGCCAGCAGCCGC
Molecule: ribosomal RNA, 467 nt
Filed under: uncultured bacterium
Lineage: Bacteria
Description: SSU rRNA
Rfam family: Bacterial small subunit ribosomal RNA
Source: RNAcentral